RNAcentral lists this ribosomal RNA (651 nucleotides) under Hydrozoanthus sils. RNAcentral's name for it is "Hydrozoanthus sp. n. HK-2018 partial large subunit ribosomal RNA". It matches the Rfam family "Bacterial large subunit ribosomal RNA", at positions 1877 to 2523 of the family's 2925-position model. The record is from RNAcentral. Lineage: Eukaryota; Metazoa; Cnidaria; Anthozoa; Zoantharia; Hydrozoanthidae.
UAAAAGCGGUUGAUAAAAGUCGACCUCGUAAGGACAAUUGAAUGGCCGCGGUAACACUGACCGUGAUAAUGUAGCGUAAUCAAUAGCCAAUUAAUUGUUGGCCAGUAUGAAUGGUGCCACGAAGGCCCCACUGUCUUAAGGAAAUUCCCAGUGAAAUUGAAUUCGUAGUGAAGAUGCUACGUCCAAUUUGUUAGACGAAAAGACCCCGUUGAGCUUUACUGGGGCACUUACACGGCCCCGGCCUUCCAAACUAGGCUUACCAUGCCUAGGGGUCGGCCGAAUUUAAAUGGGUGGCUUAGAUUAUGUGGCAGCCCCCCGUCGGGGCAGAUGAAACCCCACUCCCCCAUGUCAAAGGGGCUAACCCCCCCCCCUUGGGGGGGGGACAGUGUAAGUAGGACAGUUUGGUUGGGGCGACCGCCUUUUAAAGAGUAACGAAGGUGCGCUUAAGGUGCGCAAAUAAUGACUGAAGCCUGACUGCGAGGGGGACACCCCGAGCAGACACCCCCAAGCCUGCCCUAAGGGCGGCGGUGGGGUGGGCCAUAGUGACCCGUUAAUUUAGAGUGGAAUAGUUAACGAUCAACGAAUAAAAGUUACCACGGGGAUAACAGCGUAAUAUCGUUAGAGAGUUCACAUCGACGACGAUGUUUGCGA